AGAGUUUGAUUCUGGCUCAGGACGAACGCUGGCGGCGUGCCUAACACAUGCAAGUCGAACGGAGUAGAGAGCUUCGGCUUUCUGCUUAGUGGCGAACGGGUGAGUAACGCGUGAGGAACCUGCCUUUCAGUGGGGGACAACAGCUGGAAACGACUGCUAAUACCGCAUAAUGUUGUCGGACCGCAUGAUCUGACAACCAAAGAUUUAUUGCUGAAAGAUGGCCUCGCGUCUGAUUAGCUAGUUGGCGGGGUAACGGCUCACCAAGGCGACGAUGAUUAGGGGUUCUGAGAGGAUGGUCCCCCACACUGGAACUGAGACACGGUCCAGACUCCUACGGGAGGCAGCAGUAGGGAAUAUUGGGCAAUGGAAGCAAUUCUGACCCAGCCAUGCCGCGUGCAGGAAGAAGGCCCUAUGGGUUUUAAACUGCUUUUGUCACAGAGUAACCGUCGGGACGUGUCCCGGCCUGAGAGUAUGUGACGAAUAAGUAUCGGCUAACUCCGUGCCAGCAGCCGCGGUAAUACGGAGGAUACAAGCGUUAUCCGGAUUUAUUGGGUUUAAAGGGUGCGCAGGCGGACCGGUAAGUCAGGGGUGAAAUACUGCAGCUCAACUGCAGCCGUGCCUUUGAUACUGCCGGACUAGAGUCCAAGGGACGUGACUGGAAUGUGAUGUGUAGCGGUGAAAUGCUUAGAUAUGUCACAGAACGCCGAUCGUGAAGACAGGUCACGAACUUGGCACUGACGCUCAGGCACGAAAGCGUGGGUAUCAAACAGGAUUAGAUACCCUGGUAGUCCACGCCGUAAACGAUGAACACUCGUUGUCGGGCAGCGAUGCUCGGUGGCCAAGCGAAAGCGAUAAGUGUUCCACCUGGGGAGUACGAUCGCAAGGUUGAAACACAAAGGAAUUGACGGGGGCCCGCACAAGCGGAGGAGCAUGUGGUUUAAUUCGAUGAUACGCGAGGAACCUUACCCGGGCUUGAAGGUAAGACGAAGAUGCGAGAGAUCGCAUCGCCUACGGGCGUCUUGCUAGGUGCUGCAUGGUUGUCGUCAGCUCGUGCCGUGAGGUGUUAGGUUAAGUCCUGCAACGAGCGCAACCCUUACACGUAGUUGCCAGCACGUAAUGGUGGGGACUCUACGGGAACUGCCUACGCAAGUAGAGAGGAAGGUGGGGAUGACGUCAAAUUAGCACGGCCCUUAUAUCCGGGGCUACACACGUGCUACAAUGGGCCAUACAGAGGGCAGCUACCCCGCGAGGGGAUGCAAAUCUUCAAAGUGGUUCUCAGUUCGGAUUGGAGUCUGUAACUCGACUCUAUGAAGUUGGAUUCGCUAGUAAUCGCGCAUCAGCCAUGGCGCGGUGAAUACGUUCCCGGGCCUUGCACACACCGCCCGUCAAG
RNAcentral lists this ribosomal RNA (1390 nucleotides) under uncultured bacterium. RNAcentral's name for it is "bacterial SSU rRNA". It matches the Rfam family "Bacterial small subunit ribosomal RNA". The record is from RNAcentral.